This 468-nucleotide ribosomal RNA is filed under the name uncultured bacterium. RNAcentral describes it as "partial 16S ribosomal RNA". It matches the Rfam family "Bacterial small subunit ribosomal RNA", at positions 28 to 507 of the family's 1533-position model. The record is from RNAcentral.
GACGAACGCUGGCGGCGCGCUUAACACAUGCAAGUCGAACGGAAAGGCCCUGCUUUCGUGGGGUGCUCGAGUGGCGAACGGGUGAGUAACACGUGAGUAACCUGCCCUUGACUUUGGGAUAACUUCAGGAAACUGGGGCUAAUACCGGAUAGGAGCUCCUGCUGCAUGGUGGGGGUUGGAAAGUUUCGGCGGUUGGGGAUGGACUCGCGGCUUAUCAGCUUGUUGGUGGGGUAGUGGCUUACCAAGGCUUUGACGGGUAGCCGGCCUGAGAGGGUGACCGGCCACAUUGGGACUGAGAUACGGCCCAGACUCCUACGGGAGGCAGCAGUGGGGAAUAUUGCACAAUGGGCGGAAGCCUGAUGCAGCAACGCCGCGUGCGGGAUGACGGCCUUCGGGUUGUAAACCGCUUUCGCCUGUGACGAAGCGUGAGUGACGGUAAUGGGUAAAGAAGCACCGGCUAACUACGUG